CAGAAAUACCCUAACGGUUUUCUAUCCCUAUACCAAAAUAUCCAAAAAUCCGAGAUAUCCGAUCCGAAUCCGAACGAAUAUCCGAAUGUCCACCCCUAGCAAUACCAUUAUUCCACUAGUUUCCCUCUUUUAUACUCAUUCUUUUAAUAAUAUAUUUUGGUAGAACAUUGAUUGGAUUCCUAUUUGAUAUGGGUUUCUUUCUCUUACGGGUCAAUAAUGAAUUUAGUGCUUAAAAUAAAUAUAAAAUAAAUAUAUGUUCACACACAGUAGAAUAAUAUAAAUCUUAAAGUUCAAAAAGAAUAAGAUAUUUUUUAUAUAUUUUGGUCCCCUCCUAAGAUUUUUUUUUCUUUUCAAAAUUCAGACUGAUUUGAUGAUAUUUUUUUUGGUAUUUUUUUUUUGCUAAAAUAUAUUUUUUGGUGUUUGUUAGUUGUUACAUGUUUUUGCUUCCGAUGAUAUAUAUUAUAUGAAUUUGAAUCUAGCAAUUGAACGACGAAUUAAUGCAAAACACUAUGCUAUAUGAUUUUUUUUGUAACGGUAUGCUAUAUGAUUUCAUAUAGCUGUUAUUCUUUGAUUUUAUUAUAUUAAAAAUGAUCAUAUUAUUAUUCAGAAUAAUCGAAGUUAAUCUAUUUUACGUUGACGUCAAAUUUAAUUUGACUUUUUUUUAUAUGUCCUAUCUAAUGGAAGUAUGUGCUCCGAAUGUACCGAAUCACAAGAUGAAUCUACGUCAAUCAAAGAAAAGCUGAACCCAUUUACCCAGUCUCAGUAACGGUUAAGUGUGGAGCUGGACAUACGACAGGCAUAGAAAUAAGGGAUGUUCAGUGUACGGAUCACACAGCUCACAUGCUAGAGACGGCCAACAGAUUUAGCUGUCUCAGG
Molecule: long non-coding RNA, 876 nt
Filed under: Brassica rapa (field mustard)
Lineage: Eukaryota; Viridiplantae; Streptophyta; Magnoliopsida; Brassicales; Brassicaceae
Description: long non-coding RNA (BRAP_LNC005084)
Source: RNAcentral